AACGAACGCUGGCGGCAUGCCUAACACAUGCAAGUCGAACGAAGCCUUCGGGCUUAGUGGCGCACGGGUGCGUAACGCGUGGGAAUCUGCCCUUUGGUUCGGAAUAACAGUUGGAAACGACUGCUAAUACCGGAUGAUGACGAAAGUCCAAAGAUUUAUCGCCAGAGGAUGAGCCCGCGUAGGGUUAGCUAGUUGGUGUGGUAAAGGCGCACCAAGGCGACGAUCCUUAGCUGGUCUGAGAGGAUGAUCAGCCACACUGGGACUGAGACACGGCCCAGACUCCUACGGGAGGCAGCAGUGGGGAAUAUUGGACAAUGGGCAAAAGCCUGAUCCAGCAAUGCCGCGUGAGUGAUGAAGGCCCUAGGGUUGUAAAGCUCUUUUACCCGGGAUGAUAAUGACAGUACCGGGAGAAUAAGCCCCGGCUAACUCCGUGCCAGCCGCCGCAGUAA
RNAcentral lists this ribosomal RNA (449 nucleotides) under uncultured bacterium. RNAcentral's name for it is "partial 16S ribosomal RNA". It matches the Rfam family "Bacterial small subunit ribosomal RNA", at positions 29 to 523 of the family's 1533-position model. The record is from RNAcentral.